UACGAAGGACCCGAGCGUUAUCCGGAUUCAUUGGGUUUAAAGGGUGCGUAGGUGGGUUGGUAAGUCAGUGGUGAAAUCCCCGAGCUUAACUUGGGAACUGCCAUUGAUACUAUUAAUCUUGAAUACCGUGGAGGUUAGCGGAAUAUGUCAUGUAGCGGUGAAAUGCUUAGAUAUGACAUAGAACACCAAUUGCGAAGGCAGCUGGCUACACGAAUAUUGACACUGAUGCACGAAAGCGUGGGGAUCAAACAGG
This 253-nucleotide ribosomal RNA is filed under the name uncultured bacterium. RNAcentral's name for it is "partial 16S ribosomal RNA". It matches the Rfam family "Bacterial small subunit ribosomal RNA", at positions 524 to 776 of the family's 1533-position model. The record is from RNAcentral.